AUCCAACUGAUCAGUCCCAAAUAGGACGAGACGCGCAUUCUGGAU
Schistosoma curassoni is the source of this 45-nucleotide non-coding RNA. The record is from Rfam. NCBI's taxonomy places the organism in Eukaryota, Metazoa, Platyhelminthes, Trematoda, Strigeidida, Schistosomatidae.